Molecule: non-coding RNA, 174 nt
Filed under: Coprococcus sp.
Lineage: Bacteria; Bacillati; Bacillota; Clostridia; Lachnospirales; Lachnospiraceae
Description: 6S RNA
Rfam family: 6S / SsrS RNA
About the family: E. coli 6S RNA was the first non coding RNA to be sequenced, but its function was unknown until recently. It consists of 184 nucleotides that fold into an extended hairpin structure with a large single-stranded internal bulge.
Source: RNAcentral
CACAAUCUGAGAUGUAUUAAGUUUCUUGUGAUUUUGAACCUACAUUUGAAUAAAAGGGAUUCCUAAUUACUGUUUUGAUGUCAGGCCUCUAUAGGUGGAAGACAGAGACUCAGUUGCGGUUGCCCACCUAGCGUUGCUAGGACUCAAAAUACAAGGACGCAUUUCAGACUGUAU